This 497-nucleotide ribosomal RNA is filed under the name uncultured bacterium. Its description in RNAcentral is "partial 16S ribosomal RNA". It matches the Rfam family "Bacterial small subunit ribosomal RNA", at positions 28 to 507 of the family's 1533-position model. The record is from RNAcentral.
GAUGAACGCUGGCGGCGUGCCUAAUACAUGCAAGUAGAACGCUGAAGCUUGGUGCUUGCACCGAGCGGAUGAGUUGCGAACGGGUGAGUAACGCGUAGGUAACCUGCCUCUUAGCGGGGGAUAACUAUUGGAAACGAUAGCUAAUACCGCAUAAAAGUCGAUAUCGCAUGAUAUUGAUUUGAAAGGUGCAAAUGCAUCACUAAGAGAUGGACUUGCGUUGUAUUAGCUAGUUGGUGAGGUAACGGCUCACCAAGGCGACGAUACAUAGCCGACCUGAGAGGGUGAUCGGCCACACUGGGACUGAGACACGGCCCAGACUCCUACGGGAGGCAGCAGUAGGGAAUCUUCGGCAAUGGGGGCAACCCUGACCGAGCAACGCCGCGUGAGUGAAGAAGGUUUUCGGAUCGUAAAGCUCUGUUGUAAGAGAAGAACGAGUGUGAGAGUGGAAAGUUCACACUGUGACGGUAACUUACCAGAAAGGGACGGCUAACUACGUG